GAUGAAGAACGCAGCGAAAUGCGAUACGUAAUGUGAAUUGCAGAAUUCAGUGAAUCAUCGAAUCUUUGAACGCAUAUUGCGCUCUCUGGUAUUCCGGAGAGCAUGCUUGUUUGAGUAUCAGUAAACACCUCAACUCCCUUUUCUUUUUUGAAAUUGGAGCUGGACUUGAGUGAUCCCAACGCUUUCUUCCAAGAAAGUGGCGGGAUGCUUGAAAUGCAGGUGCAGCUGAACUUUUCUCUGAGCUAUAAGCAUAUCUAUUUAGUCUGCCUAAAAAACAGAUUAUUACCUUUGCUGCAGCUAACAUAAAGGAGACUAGUUCUUGUGCUGACUGAUGCAGGAUUCACAGAGACAGCUUCGGCUGACUUUGUAAACUCGAUCUCAAAUCAAGUAAGACUACCCGCUGAACUUAAGCAUAUCAAUAAGCGGAGGA
This 430-nucleotide unclassified non-coding RNA is filed under the name soil metagenome. RNAcentral's name for it is "partial contains 5.8S ribosomal RNA, internal transcribed spacer 2, and large subunit ribosomal RNA". The stretch from base 1 to 120 matches the Rfam family "5.8S ribosomal RNA", at positions 35 to 154 of the family's 154-position model. The record is from RNAcentral.